Molecule: ribosomal RNA, 305 nt
Filed under: uncultured eukaryote
Lineage: Eukaryota
Description: partial large subunit ribosomal RNA
Rfam family: Eukaryotic large subunit ribosomal RNA
Source: RNAcentral
AUAUCAAUAAGCGGAGGAAAAGAAACCAACAGGGAUUACCUCAGUAACGGCGAGUGAAGCGGUAACAGCUCAGAUUUGAAACCUGGCCUGGCCCGGAUUGUAAUCUGCAGAGGAAUGUUUGGCCGAAGAGUCGAUCCAAGUCCCUUGGAACAGGGCGUCAUAGAGGGUGAGAACCCCGUUGGCCCGAUGUCUGACGCCGUGUAAACAUCCUUCGACGAGUCGAGUUGUUUGGGAAUGCAGCUCAAAAUGGGUGGUAAAUUCCAUCUAAAGCUAAAUAUUGGCCAGAGACCGAUAGCGCACAAGUA